Molecule: long non-coding RNA, 4667 nt
Filed under: Sus scrofa (pig)
Lineage: Eukaryota; Metazoa; Chordata; Mammalia; Artiodactyla; Suidae
Description: lncRNA (ENSSSCG00000060696.1)
Source: RNAcentral
UGUCUUUUCAGGGCCACACCCUCGGCACAUGGAGGUUCCCAGGCUAGGGGUCUAAUCGGAGCUGCAACUGCAGCAACAAAGGAUAUGAGCUGAAUCUGCAACCUACAGCUUGUGGCAAUGCCGGAUCCUUAAGCUGCACUGAGCAAGGCCAGGAAUCAAAUUCGCAUCCUAAGGGAUACUAGUCGGGUUCUUAACCCACUGAGCCACAGUGAGAACUCCAUCUAUGUGUAUCUUUGAAUCUAAAGUGUCUUGGAGAUAGCAUAGAGUUGGGUUUUUUUUUUAACUUAUUCUGUCAAUUUCUGUCUCUUUAUUGGAGCAAUUAAUAUACUGACUGAUAGGAUUUAUGUCCUUUUGCUAUUCGUUUUCUACGUGGUCUGAUAUGUCUUUGUUCCUAUCGUCUUCCAUUCCUCCCUUCCUUGGUGUUAAACAGGUAUUUUCUGGCAUACCAUUUUAAUUCUCUUUCAUUACAUAUUUAAAAUUAUUUUCUUAGUGGUUGCCCUGGAGAUGACAACUAACAUUUUAACUUAAAACAAUCUGGCUCUGAUUAAUGCCAACUUAAUUUUAAUACACACAAAAACUUUGCUCGAAUAUAGCUUUCUUCCCCUUUUAUUAUGCUAUUAUUAUACUAAUGACGUCUUUGUACAUUAUAAGCUUGUCAAUACAGUUUUAUAAUUCUUGCUUUACACCGAUAAGAAAAGAGUUACAACAAAAUACCUUUCUACCUUUAAAGGUGCUCCUCAUCUCAUGUGAAUUUGAGUCACUGUCUCGGGUCCUUUCACUUCGGCCUGAAGGGUUCCCUAUAGUAUUUCGUGGAGGGCAGGUCUCAUAGCAACACAUUCAGGUUUUAUUUAUCUGGGAUGUCUUGAUUUCACCUUCUUUUUUUUUCUUUUUCACCUGUGCCUGCAGGUUAUGGAAGUUCCUGGGCCAGGGACCAAAUCCGAGGCUCAGAUGUGACCUAUGCCACGACUAUCCCGCAGCAAUGCUGGAUCCUUAACCUGCUGUGCCACAGCAGGAACUCGCAUCCCCUUCAGUUUUCAAGAAUAUCAUUUUCUGGAUAUCGACUUCUUGUUGCCCAUCUUUUUGUCUCCGCACUGUCAUCCCAUUGCCUUCUGGCUUCCAGUUUCAGAUGAGAAGUUGACGGUUGGUCUGAUUAAGAAUCCUUUGUCUAGUGAAGUCUUACCCUUCAAUUCGGACUCAACCAUCUCUUUCUCCCUGGACUCCCUUUUGUAUAUGACCCCCCCCCCAGGGCUGCAUAGCUAUCAGAGAUGAUCAUGAUUGUAAUUAAACAAUCACAGAAGUAGCUCCCUAGUUUGUUUGCUUUUUUUUUUCUUUUUUAGGGCCACACCCAUAGCAUAUGGAGGUUCCCAGGCUAGGGGGUCCAAUUGGAGAGACAACAGCCAGCCUACGCCACAGCCACAGCCACGCAGGAUCCAAGCCGUGUCUGCGACUUACACCACAGCUGGAUCCUUAACCCACUGAGUGAGGCCAGGGAUCAAACCCACAACCUCAUGGCUCCUAGUCGGAUUCCCUUCCAGCGCACCACGAUGGGAACGCCCCUAGUUUGUUUCUAUCGCUAGAAUGUAAGCUCCAUAAGGACAAGGCAAGGAAUGAACCUGCUUUGUUCAGCACUCUAUCCCCAGAGGGAACACACUACUGGUCAUACUGUAGCCUUUCAAAAAAUAUUUACUGAGUAAAUAAAUGAAACUCGUCCUGAAGUCGGCCGAAUCACCAGGCGUCCAUCCUUCACUCUCUGUUACAGUAUGAGGCAGCCACGCUCGGCCACGGCCUAAUGGUGGGCAGUUUAUGUCCCUGCCCCCUGGCUUGGGAUUAGAGUCCAGCCUUCAGCUCCUGACUCACUGCUGUGUGGGCCCACCCUGUGGACAUUAGGUCACCAAGUGAGGCCAGCCCACAGUUGAGUCUGGCUGUCCCCCGGGCCUGUCCUCUCUGCCCUGACCUCAGAGUGACCUAGAUGCAAAGUCUCGAUUCUGUAAAGGCAAUUUAGAUUCCAUGCAGGGCCUUCUCACCCCGAGUUUCUCCCUUUGCUAAAUUAUCCCCCAACUCCCCGUCCGGGGUGACCCAGUUCACCACAUGCCACCCAAACCUGAAGAUGGGUUUGGGGAAAUCUGAGGCCAUCCAGCCUAAGAGGCCCUUUUACGUGAAGUGAGAAGCAUUGGAGGCAUUAUCUCUUCCACCAGUUGGAAAAAUCUCUGUCGUAACGGGACAGUUCUGAAACAAGAUGCUUCACAGCCCUUUGCGGGAAAAUUGCCAUCAUAAACCACAGACGGAAACCCUCUUCUGUGCGGUGCCCUCUUCCGUAUGGCACUCAACCCACAAAUACGCCUUUGGCAGACCCCACACCCACCUGCAGCUCAGGCCAAGCAAGACCCUCAAAGCGGCUGGUCACCUGUGCCACAGAAGCCUGCAGACGGGGCGAUCACGUGGCCAAGAGCCAUGCGCCCUUUCCACUGUGCUCAGGGCAGAAGCGUAAGGUCCGAACAAAGCCAGGGAGUGGGAGAAAGGGCUUUAUGUUCAGACCAGGGUCCCUGGUCCCCAAGCAGUGACUUUUGCAAAUGAGGGGAACCACCAGCAGGAUCAGAAGCUGGCGGUAAGAACGUCACUGCAGGGACCUCGGAAAAGCAGAGGGAUGACGUCUGGGAAAGGUGGGCAGCCUGGCGCUGCUCCAAACAUGGCCUGGCUGGAUCACGACUGUUUGGAGGUAGAAAGAAGUUCACAUUCAUCUCUGACCUUUUCGUGGUGAGCCUCGCCCAUGGUACCGAUGCCCCCGAUCAAACACCUGCCCAAACCCUGACAUUAACGAGGACAAGCACUGACAACUCUGAGACCAGUUGAAACUGGGUCGUUUCCUGCCACUAAUCUGUGUGAUUCAAUGACAUUAAAAAAGAAACCAGAAGAGAAUUCAUUUCUUUUUUUACUUGUAAAUGAGGCCCACUUAGAGCAGAACAAGUUCAAUGCGAAUCUUCUUAGACAAAGGAUCCCUGGGAGGCGGGGGGCGGUGCCAAAGAACUUGGGAUCCAGCCCUUGUUUCCUUUUCCUUAAUCUUUUUUUUUUUAUUUUUUUAUUUUUCGGGUGCACCUGCAGCAUAUGGAAGUUUCCAGGCCAGGGAUCGAAUCUGAGCCAGAGCUGUGACCUACACCAUAGCUGAGGACUGAAUUGGUGGCCUCCACAGAGACAAGAUGCAUUAACCCACCAAGUGCAGGAGGAACUCCUAGCCCUUGUUUUCUGAUCACCGCACCAAGCACCUCUUCAUCCAACCCCCUGUGCUCUACCUCGAAGAGAAAUAAACCUGGUUUCCAAAAACGAAGUCCAAAAUCAUAUACAUUCCUACAUUUCCCCUUCUAAAUUAAGCCAGUGUUCUCCAUUAACUUUCCACCGGGGAGAGAGAGAAAAGUGUUUAAAAUUGGGAACUAAAUUUAAAGUUAGGGAAAAAAUUAAAACUAGCCUUCACCAAGUGCAAAUGUUUGAAGUGGCUCUGCCUCCCAUUUUAAAAAGUUACAGGUCAAGCGACGCUCUGUUUGAAAGUUCACCUUGUCACAUCAGCCCAGGAAUCCAAGCGUUCAAGGGGGGUCAUGCAAAGACUCAAGGAUUGGUUCGAGGCAGCUUCUACGCUGGAUUUUAGCGAUAGGAGGGGCAUGUUCCACUACAUUUUUGGUGCUGGCAGGUGGGCACACUGUAUCAACAGGAUUCUUGGAUGGCGAGCAACAGAAACCAGGUCUGGUGGACUUAAGCAGAAAGGGACCUACCGGCAGGAUACCUGGUAACUCAGAACUGAUGGGAAGCCUGAAAAUCCCCACGUGGAAGAACACAGGAUCCCUCACAGCUGCAGAGCCGGGGCCUCAAGAAUAAGUGGCUCCAAUACCCUUUCCCUUCCUGCUUCGCCUCCUUAGAUUCCAGAUCCCGAAAGCCGGUCCAGCAGCGUGGCCCAACUUGGGCCAGACCCCAGGCCUUGACCUGGGUGAUGGCUACAUGAGUGUGUUCACUUUGUAAAAAUGAGACCAGCAGGAGUUCCCACUGUGUUCAAAGGGCUAAGGACCCAAUGUUGUCUCCGUGAGGAUGCAGGUCCGAUUCUGGCCUCGCUCAGUGGGUUAGGGAUCCAGCAUUGCCGCAGCUCAAUUCUACUCCUCACAGAAGUAAAAUAUAGAAGAGAAAUAACAUACAUAAAAGAAAUGAAAAUUAUGUCAAUAAGACUUAUGGCCACUCCAUUUAUAUUAGCCCUAAACUAAAAAAAGCCCAAAGUUCGGGAGUUCCCGUAGUGCUCAGUGGAAAUGAAUCUGACUAGCAACCAUAAAGACACAGGUUCGAUCCCUGGCCUCGCUCAGUGGGUUAAGAUCCGGCAUUGCUGUGAGCUGUGGUGUAGGUGGCAGACACAGCUAGGACCCUGCACUGCUGUGGCUAUGGGGUAGGCUGGCAGCUGUAGCUCCGACUGGACUCCUAGCCUGGAAACUUCCAUUUGCCAAGGGUGAAGCCCUUAAAAAAAAAAAAUCAAUAAAAAAGGAAUGACCUGUAGCUCCAUACAACAUGAUGAAUCUCAAAAACAUAAACACACAUGCAAAUGGAUCUAUUAAAAACUGGAAUACAGUGUGACUCCAUUAAUGCAAUUUCAAAAGUAUACAAAAUUUGGAUUUCUUGUUGUGGCUCAGCAGGAUAAG